RNAcentral lists this transfer RNA (72 nucleotides) under Camelus bactrianus (Bactrian camel). It matches the Rfam family "tRNA". Rfam says of the family: Transfer RNA (tRNA) molecules are approximately 80 nucleotides in length. Their secondary structure includes four short double-helical elements and three loops (D, anti-codon, and T loops). Lineage: Eukaryota; Metazoa; Chordata; Mammalia; Artiodactyla; Camelidae. The record is from Rfam by way of RNAcentral. RNAcentral also lists the same sequence under 1 other name.
GAGGAUAUAGCUCAAGUGGUAGAGUGCAUGCCUAGCAUGCACAAGUCCUGGGUUCAAUCCCUAGUACUUCCU